RNAcentral lists this long non-coding RNA (112 nucleotides) under Callithrix jacchus (white-tufted-ear marmoset). RNAcentral describes it as "lncRNA (ENSCJAG00000073403.1)". Lineage: Eukaryota; Metazoa; Chordata; Mammalia; Primates; Cebidae. The record is from RNAcentral.
UACUAUCCACCUAGGCUAUAGGUUAUAUAGAGCCUAUUGCUCCUGGGUUAUAAACAGAACCUAGGAAUAGUGAUAUUUGCCUUGACGAUCUUAAGAAAUUAUUUGAGGGGAG